GUAUAUAACUCAAAUGGUAGAGCAAAUUUUUUAAAAAAAUUUGAUUUUUGAGUUCAAAUCUCGAUGUAUAUA
This 72-nucleotide transfer RNA is filed under the name Vischeria sp. CAUP Q 202. RNAcentral describes it as "tRNA-Leu". It matches the Rfam family "tRNA". Rfam says of the family: Transfer RNA (tRNA) molecules are approximately 80 nucleotides in length. Their secondary structure includes four short double-helical elements and three loops (D, anti-codon, and T loops). The record is from RNAcentral. Lineage: Eukaryota; Eustigmatophyceae; Eustigmatales; Chlorobotryaceae.